RNAcentral lists this ribosomal RNA (429 nucleotides) under Acidobacteriota bacterium. Its description in RNAcentral is "Acidobacteria bacterium partial 16S ribosomal RNA". It matches the Rfam family "Bacterial small subunit ribosomal RNA", at positions 355 to 776 of the family's 1533-position model. Lineage: Bacteria; Pseudomonadati; Acidobacteriota. The record is from RNAcentral.
UGGGGAAUUUUGGACAAUGGGGGAAACCCUGAUCCAGCCAUCCCGCGUGUGCGAUGAAGGCCUUCGGGUUGUAAAGCACUUUUGGCAGGAAAGAAACGUCAUGGGUUAAUACCCCGUGAAACUGACGGUACCUGCAGAAUAAGCACCGGCUAACUACGUGCCAGCAGCCGCGGUAAUACGUAGGGUGCAAGCGUUAAUCGGAAUUACUGGGCGUAAAGCGUGCGCAGGCGGUUCGGAAAGAAAGAUGUGAAAUCCCAGAGCUCAACUUUGGAACUGCAUUUUUAACUACCGGGCUAGAGUGUGUCAGAGGGAGGUGGAAGUCCGCGUGUAGCAGUGAAAUGCGUAGAUAAGCGAAGGAACACCGAUGGCGAAGGCAGCCUCCUGAGAUAACACUGACACUCAUGCACGAAAGCGUGGGGAGCAAACAGG